RNAcentral lists this ribosomal RNA (528 nucleotides) under uncultured Sphingobacterium sp. RNAcentral's name for it is "bacterial SSU rRNA". It matches the Rfam family "Bacterial small subunit ribosomal RNA", at positions 1 to 524 of the family's 1533-position model. The record is from RNAcentral. Lineage: Bacteria; Pseudomonadati; Bacteroidota; Sphingobacteriia; Sphingobacteriales; Sphingobacteriaceae.
UAGAGUUUGAUCAUGGCUCAGAAUGAACGCUAGCGGCAGGCCUAAUACAUGCAAGUCGAACGGGAUCCAUUGGAGAGCUUGCUCGAAGUCGGUGAGAGUGGCGCACGGGUGCGUAACGCGUGAGCAACCUGCCCUUGUCAGGGGGAUAGCCCGGAGAAAUCCGGAUUAACACCGCAUGAGACUACAGCCUGGCAUCGGGAGGUAGUUAAAUAUUUAUAGGACAAGGAUGGGCUCGCGUGGCAUUAGCUGGUUGGUAGGGUAACGGCCUACCAAGGCGACGAUGCCUAGGGGCUCUGAGAGGAGAAUCCCCCACACUGGUACUGAGACACGGACCAGACUCCUACGGGAGGCAGCAGUAAGGAAUAUUGGUCAAUGGGCGGGAGCCUGAACCAGCCAUGCCGCGUGCGGGAGGAAGGCCCUAUGGGUCGAAAACCGCUUUUGCACGGGAACAAACCCCGCUACGCGUAGCGGGCUGAGCGUACCGUGAGAAUAAGGAUCGGCUAACUCCGUGCCAGCAGCCGCGGUAAU